This is a long non-coding RNA of Catharus ustulatus (Swainson's thrush), 379 nucleotides long. RefSeq lists it as uncharacterized. The record is from RefSeq and is a predicted model, not a curated record. NCBI's taxonomy places the organism in Eukaryota, Metazoa, Chordata, Aves, Passeriformes, Turdidae. The transcript has 3 exons.
CACAAACCAGUCAUGCGAUAUUUAGCAAUUACACAAAAAUUUCAUUUGGAAGAGGUACUGUGAAGAGCAGGUCCUCAUUUGUGGAUUUAGCACUUUGGUGGGACUUUGACAUUGGUUUCUUUGGCUGAGAGACCUCAGGAGGUUGUAUGCACAUAAUGACACAGAUUUUUUGACACCUGGGGAAUUUUUAUGGAAUCUGAACCAAGCAAAGGUGGAAGGAAGUGGGAAGAAUACCACCUGGGAAACUUUAAGGGUUCAGAGACCACAGACUUCCCAUAUGCAUACAAAACCUCAAGUAGCAUUCAUGACUGUUGUAAGCAUUGCCUGAGGGUCAGGAACACAUCAAACCAAGGUUUUAUUCCAGUGGUUUUGAGGUUUG